Molecule: long non-coding RNA, 500 nt
Filed under: Homo sapiens (human)
Lineage: Eukaryota; Metazoa; Chordata; Mammalia; Primates; Hominidae
Description: HSALNT0331257
Source: RNAcentral
UUCCACAGCUAUUUACAUAAUUAACUGUUCAGUUACAAUUCUGGCAAGCGUGCUGAAGAAAUAACAGGUCCUAAAUAAUUACAGCUAGUAUUACAAAGCAAGCGCUGCAUGCCAGGCUUACACAUACUGCUAACAUGUCUACUUUUUGCAACAACCUCUUGUGGUAGAGACGUCAUCUAAGAGGAGCUUGCAAGUCCAGAGGGCUUCCUGAAGGAAGUGAGCUGAGAAUAAUAUGAAAUUAACCAGACCAAGGGCCAUUCCAGGAAGAGAGAAUGGUUGCGCAGGGAACAAAUGAGGGAGCAGAAGGAAGGGGUUCUCCUAUCCGCUGCACGGCACUGCGCAGAAGACAGGGGAGCCAGGCAUUCCCUGAAGGGUGAAAAGCAAGGAGUAGAGCUGGGUAGUAGACUAGAAUUUAGGAGCCUGGCCUGGGGCCUGGGUGGGGCGAAAGAGGCGGAGCCUGAAUGGGGUGUGUAUAGGGGGGUUGCGUGUAGGGGUGUGUG